This 219-nucleotide long non-coding RNA is filed under the name Lathyrus oleraceus (garden pea). Its description in RNAcentral is "Pisum sativum (pea) long non-coding RNA (PSAT_LNC038990)". Lineage: Eukaryota; Viridiplantae; Streptophyta; Magnoliopsida; Fabales; Fabaceae. The record is from RNAcentral.
CUAAGGAGUGAUGUUGGAAGAGACUUACUAAGUGGUGAUCUGGAAGGAAUUAGUUCAGUGUACUGUAUGCGUUAGUAAGGUGUAAAUUGAUUAGUCGGGAUAUGGAAUUCAAUCAUUUCUUGGAUUCAUGGCCUCAGAUGGGGACCUCCAGGAGAGUAGUAUUUCUAUGUACAAUGAUGCUCUAGACUAUUGGAAGGAUUUGUGAAGUUUUACUUCCAA